This 216-nucleotide ribosomal RNA is filed under the name uncultured bacterium. RNAcentral's name for it is "partial 16S ribosomal RNA". It matches the Rfam family "Bacterial small subunit ribosomal RNA", at positions 114 to 334 of the family's 1533-position model. The record is from RNAcentral.
UAUAUCGGAACGUACCCUGGAGUGGGGGAUAACGCAGCGAAAGUUGCGCUAAUACCGCAUACGAUCUAAGGAUGAAAGCAGGGGACCUUCGGGCCUUGUGCUCCUGGAGCGGCCGAUAUCUGAUUAGCUAGUUGGUGGGGUAAAGGCCUACCAAGGCAUCGAUCAGUAGCUGGUCUGAGAGGACGAUCAGCCACACUGGGAUUGAGAACGGCCCAG